Molecule: ribosomal RNA, 496 nt
Filed under: uncultured bacterium
Lineage: Bacteria
Description: partial 16S ribosomal RNA
Rfam family: Bacterial small subunit ribosomal RNA
Source: RNAcentral
AUGCACGCUGGCGGCGUGCCUAAUCCAUGCAAGUCGAGCGCACGGACGAGAAGCUUGCUUCUCUGAUGUUAGCGGCGGACGGGUGAGUAACACGUGGCUAACCUACCUAUAAGACUGGGAUAACUUCGGGAAACCGGAGCUAAUACCGGAUAAUAUUUUGAACCGCAUGGUUCAAAAGUGAAAGACGGUCUUGCUGUCACUUAUAGAUGGAUCCGCGCUGCAUUAGCUAGUUGGUAAGGUAACGGCUUACCAAGGCAACGAUGCAUAGCCGACCUGAGAGGGUGAUCGGCCACACUGGAACUGAGACACGGUCCAGACUCCUACGGGAGGCAGCAGUAGGGAAUCUUCCGCAAUGGGCGAAAGCCUGACGGAGCAACGCCGCGUGAGUGAUGAAGGUCUUCGGAUCGUAAAACUCUGUUAUUAGGGAAGAACAUAUGUGUAAGUAACUGUGCACAUCUUGACGGUACCUAAUCAGAAAGCCACGGCUAACUACGUG